This 96-nucleotide transfer RNA is filed under the name Stanieria sp. NIES-3757. RNAcentral describes it as "tRNA-Thr". Lineage: Bacteria; Bacillati; Cyanobacteriota; Cyanophyceae; Pleurocapsales; Dermocarpellaceae. The record is from RNAcentral.
GGCAGGAGUAGCAAAAUUAGUAUUAUUAGGUGGAUUGUAGCCACCAUAUUCUUCAAAAUGGGUAUAGGAGUGGGUGCCAAUCUCAUUACCUGCUGC